RNAcentral lists this ribosomal RNA (429 nucleotides) under Actinomycetes bacterium. RNAcentral describes it as "Actinobacteria bacterium partial 16S ribosomal RNA". It matches the Rfam family "Bacterial small subunit ribosomal RNA", at positions 355 to 776 of the family's 1533-position model. The record is from RNAcentral. Lineage: Bacteria; Bacillati; Actinomycetota; Actinomycetes.
UAGUGAAUCUUCCGCAAUGGGCGAAAGCCUGACGGAGCAACGCCGCGUGAGUGAUGAAGGUCUUCGGAUCGUAAAACUCUGUUAUUAGGGAAGAACAAAUGUGUAAGUAACUAUGCACGUCUUGAUGGUACCUAAUCAGAAAGCCACGGCUAACUACGUGCCAGCAGCCGCGGUAAUACGUAGGUGGCAAGCGUUAUCCGGAAUUAUUGGGCGUAAAGCGCGCGUAGGCGGUUUUUUAAGUCUGAUGUGAAAGCCCACGGCUCAACCGUGGAGGGUCAUUGGAAACUGGAAAACUUGAGUGCAGAAGAGGAAAGGUGAAUUCCAUGUGUAGCGGUGAAAUGCGCAGAGAUAUGGAGGAACACCAGUGGCGAAGGCGACUUUCUGGUCUGUAACUGACGCUGAUGUGCGAAAGCGUGAGGAUCAAACAGG